AUGAACGCUGGCGGCGUGCCUCAUACACGCAAGUCGCGCGAACAGACGAGGAGCUUGCUCCUCUGACGUUAGCGGCGGACGGGUGAGUAACACGUGGAUAACCUACCUAUAAGACUGGGAUAACUUCGGGAAACCGGAGCUAAUACCGGAUAAUAUAUUGAACCGCAUGGUUCAAUAGUGAAAGACGGUUUUGCUGUCACUUAUAGAUGGAUCCGCGCCGCAUUAGCUAGUUGGUAAGGUAACGGCUUACCAAGGCAACGAUGCGUAGCCGACCUGAGAGGGUGAUCGGCCACACUGGAACUGAGACACGGUCCAGACUCCUACGGGAGGCAGCAGUAGGGAAUCUUCCGCAAUGGGCGAAAGCCUGACGGAGCAACGCCGCGUGAGUGAUGAAGGUCUUCGGAUCGUAAAACUCUGUUAUUAGGGAAGAACAAAUGUGUAAGUAACUAUGCACGUCUUGACGGUACCUAAUCAGAAAGCCACGGCUAACUACGUG
RNAcentral lists this ribosomal RNA (496 nucleotides) under uncultured bacterium. RNAcentral's name for it is "partial 16S ribosomal RNA". It matches the Rfam family "Bacterial small subunit ribosomal RNA", at positions 29 to 507 of the family's 1533-position model. The record is from RNAcentral.